GUCUACGGCCAUGCCACCCCGAAUAAGCCCGAUAUCUGAUCUCAGAAGCUAAGCAGGGUCAGGCCUGGUUAGUACGUGGAUGGGAGACCACCUAGGAAGACCAGGUGCUGUAGGCA
This 116-nucleotide ribosomal RNA is filed under the name Pteropus alecto (black flying fox). Lineage: Eukaryota; Metazoa; Chordata; Mammalia; Chiroptera; Pteropodidae. The record is from RNAcentral.